This 2248-nucleotide long non-coding RNA is filed under the name Homo sapiens (human). Its description in RNAcentral is "HSALNT0332816". Lineage: Eukaryota; Metazoa; Chordata; Mammalia; Primates; Hominidae. The record is from RNAcentral.
AUCACCUUUCAGUGUCUGCUCUGCUGGCUCAUGCAGUGUAGGUUGGCUUACCUCUCCCUGGAAGUCACAUUGUCCUUCAGAACUCUUUUUACUAUGACCCACAAACAGUUUUCAGACCUCACUCUGAUGAGUCAAAGGUAAAGCUGUGAAUAAACAGAUGGUGAAACAACAUUUGCAGUUCUCUGACUUCAGUCCUCCCUGAAACCCACUUGGAAUCUAGCUCUGAAUUCAGCCGGACAUGUUUGUUCUUCCCUUUUCCCAUCCUCACCUACUCCUAACCUUCAGUGUUCUCUUUACCUUUUAUUUUUAUUUUUGUCAUUUUAGUAGUAAAUGACAGGGACAUAGUUACUCAAUUUGUAAAACAUUGAAUGGUGAGGUCAAAGAUUCUAUGACGAGCUUGAGAUUUCUAACAGGUUCAGAUGGAUGACAGCAACAUUUUGCUGGCUUAAUUUUGGAGCUGUUUUUGUAGGUUUUGAAAUGCAGUUUAAUAGUGAGUAAUAGAGAAGUUUCUUUCUGCCGUGGAGCUACUGAACCCUUGAAAGUAACAUGCUGGCACAUACAGAUGAACUGUAGCCCCACAUUUAUUCCUUGCUUAGUGGUAAGCUGUACACUGAACAAUAGAAAACAAAAGGCUAUUUUUCUUUGGAAGAGCAGAUACUGAUUUCUGGACAAAGUUUAUGUUGUACAAGUUAAACAUUUUUUAUUCUUUUCUGGUUAGAUUUUCUGCCUUUUAAAAAAUUAGCUUAGUUGAAAAAGCAGAAAGAUUAAUAACAGUGACAAUUGUGAAUAGAAGCCAGUCAUUACCUAACUGAUAAAAUGAGUGAGGCUAGCAAAGGGCCUGACAGGAAGUGAAAUCACUUACUGAAGUGGUGGUAGAGUACGCAACCAAGAACUAAGAACAGGAGGGAAGUUAACCCUAGGGAGAGUUCGACUCCACUUGAGGAGGAACAUUCUGGCAAUCAGGACUGUCUAAAAAUGGAACAAGCUGAUUGAUUUAGCAGUGAAACCUCUGUCACUGGAGAUGUUCAAACAGAGGUAGUAGGACCCUCUUAUCAGGAAUUCUCCAGAGAGGAGAUGUCACCAAUUUUCAAAGAAUUUGAGUAUAAUUAAAUACACUUCAUAAUAAACUAGGCUGAACAUAAUUUAAUCUUUCCCUGAAGAUGAGGACAGUGGAGCUCAGGAAGCUUGAGGGACUUGCCUAAGCUCAUACAGUAGAUCAAUGGCGGAGACCACUGGACUUCAAAUUCAGUGCUCUUUUUAGUAUUUCAAAGGAUACUAAACAUUUGCUCACAUCUCUGAUGUUCUUUGUGCUGUAUGUGUAGUAACUCAUUUAAUCCUCACAGUGGCCCUGUUAGUAGGUAGAUAUCAGUUCUUCUGGUACUAUUACGAUUCUCAUCUUCAGAGCUGAGGCCACUGAGAGGCACAGAGAAGUUAGGGCAUGCACUAGUGAGUGGCGGAGCUGAAAUCUGAACUUAGAGCUUUGGCUCCAGAGCCCAUGCACUCCACCAUUAUGCUACAUGGCUACUCAGUGUACAGAUACACUGAGCUUAAGUAGAGGAGAAAGCUUAUCUAUCCAUAUCUUCCCAUCUGCAAAGACCUCUGCCUGUAUGGGAGGUCUGGGCUCGUUCUGACUAAGGUUUUGAACCCAGAUCUGCCAAUUUGAGAUCUUGGGCCCAUUACUUAGCCUGAGCUUCAGUUUCCACAUCUCUAAAGUGAAAAUAUAGAACAUGGAAUGUACCUGUAAGAACACAAUGGAAUACAGGUUCAAGCAAUUCUACUGUCUCAGCCUCCUGAGUAGCUGGGACUACAGGCUACCCAAUCAGAGCAAAAACAGUAUUUUAAAAAACCUCAACUGGAUGAGCCUGAUGCAGUGGUGUGCUCAUGCAGUCCCAGCCAAAGGGUCACUUGAGCAGAGGAGUUCAAGGCCAACUUGGGCAACAUAGUGAGACCCCGUCUCUAAGACAAAUAAUAAACAUCAAAAUUAAAAUUAAAAAAAACCCAACCCAGUGUUCCCUUCAGAAUCCUGAGUGGUUUGUUUCAUCUUCCUCUAUUCUGGCUUGUGUCAUCUUCCUCUCUUGUAAUGGAUAAAAACUCCAAAUGAAGACAAAAAUGAGGAAUUUGUCAAAAAAAUUGAAUUGCCAACAAAAGCCAUCUUUGGUUGAUCAAACGGUACAGACGUUUCAGUUAGACAAGAGGGCUAAGUUUCUGAGACCCAUUGUACAGGAUUAUUAAUAUUAUUCAUUUUUAG